UGGACUCCAAAGCUCUUCCCCUCUGUCUUUAGAACACGGUCUAUUUUUCCUUAUUCGGAUCCUCCACUCACAAGCUCACACAGGCAGCUUCUAGCCCUCACGCUUGGAAGUUUCUCGGGUGGCAGAACCGUGGUCGCCGCAGGGUUUCUAGGCAGUCGAGCAAAUACGCUGAAAUCGAUAGGUGAGCGAUUCUUCAUACGAACUUCAGGUUGGUUCCUCUUGUCUGGCCCAGGAGGCUCUAACCCCAGUCUCCUGCCUCGGCCUCCUAAGAGCUGGGAUCAUGACAUGUGCCGCCUCCCUCAGCCAAACAAGUUUAGUAGUGUGUUCUACGUGGGUACUGCAAGAUGAGCACGGCCUGCCCUGUGUUUGUUUCUGUUCCGUGGCGCUGGGGAUCAAAGCAUGCUACCACUGAGCUGCACCCCCAACCCCAGAGCCCAUUUCAAAUCCUGCUAAAGGUGGUAUUAAAGGUGGGCAAAAGUCAACCAGAAAGUUCAGUUCCUGGGCUGGCAGGAUGGCUCAGUGGGUAAAGGCAUCCGCCGCCAAGCCUGACACUUGGUGGAGAGGAAGAAUGAUCCUGGCGAGCUGUCCUCUGACCUCUGCGUGUGUGUCCAGCUUCUGCUCCCGCAAGCAUGCCCAAUGCACACUGAGUAAAUAAAUGAUAAUAAAGUUUUUACAGUCCCAGUUCUGUGGAGACGGAGACUUCAUUAAACUGUACUGUGGAAGUCAGCCCCUGGGGGCUGCUUUUCAGCUCCAAUGCUCCUUUCUAAAUUUGUGCCCUUUUGGUAAUAUUUUCAGUAGUGGACUGCUUUAGCACUGUGAACAUGCUUGAGUUUGAAAUUCCUUAAGCCGGCUCUAGUAAAGAAAAUACUGGGCAGUAGAGGGAGUUGUAGCUGUGGGACUGCUGAUAACAGACAAGCUCUUUGAGAGCAGAGCUAAAGCCUUCCCUGCAGUUUUCUUGGCACCAGAAUAGCUGGGGAGAGGAUAAAAGCUGCAGCAGUAUAAUCCCUAAGAAAACCUGCUGGCUGCCUGUUCCAUUUCCCUGUGUGGCCUUUCUGACCUGGUUGCCUUGUGUAAGCAAAGCUGUGCCUGCUGUGGCUUAUUCUGAAUGGAUCAAGACGUGGAAGGUUCUAUUUUUGACAGAGCAAACGAUGAUCUAGUGAGGAAUAGGUGCUCUUACAAUUGAGCUCUGUAUUUAGAAAUCCUUGCCUGCUCCCCGCCCGGUGGAGCCUGUGGUGUUUGCCUUUUAACUCGGACUUUUCCGCAGUCUGUAGCUCCUUUCUUCUAGCUGGAAUCUGUAUGGCGGAGGGCGUUGCUCUGGCUUCAUUAAGGUUACUGAACUACUGGGGAGCAGCUCAUGUUGGCAGCCCUUGCCCCUGUGAAGGCGGGAUGUGGUGAUGUCUGUACCUCAGCAUUCCUAGGACAAGAUGGGAGAUGGGAACAGGAGAAUCCUCUGGAAGCUCGACAACCACAGUGGCAACCAAGAGAGAUGCUGCCUCAAACACGUUGGAAGAGAAGGACCAAGAUCUGAAGAUGCCCCUGACUUCCACAUGCACACCGUGGUCUGUGCACACCCUUACACAUGAACACGUGACCAAAAUAAAUAUUAAUAAAAUAAACCUUAUGGCUGUCA
This is a long non-coding RNA of Peromyscus californicus insignis, 1630 nucleotides long. RefSeq lists it as uncharacterized. The record is from RefSeq and is a predicted model, not a curated record. The transcript is spliced from 2 exons. Lineage: Eukaryota; Metazoa; Chordata; Mammalia; Rodentia; Cricetidae.